RNAcentral lists this long non-coding RNA (475 nucleotides) under Fragaria vesca (wild strawberry). Its description in RNAcentral is "long non-coding RNA (FVES_LNC001543)". Lineage: Eukaryota; Viridiplantae; Streptophyta; Magnoliopsida; Rosales; Rosaceae. The record is from RNAcentral.
CUUCAAUGGCAUCGUUGAUCAUCAAAGGGAUAGCCUCCUCGAGCUCCAGAACAAUGGUAUUUGGGUAAUCGUACAACAUCGCAGCAGCAUUUAAAACCCUAGACUGAAUUUUAGAGAUGGAGAUGGCGAAGAGUAAAGUUUUAGGUGAGGACAAACAAGGAAGGGUGUGGGGGUUUAUAGGAGGAGCAAUAAUUGCCGUUUACUAUGUUGAAUAGGAAUAGUUACAUACUUUAAUAGGAAAGAUACUGUAUAGUUUUUAUGGUUUGAAGUCGACAUUUGUUUCUGUUUAGUCCUUAUGGUUUUAUUUUAAUCUGAAUAGUCUUUAAAGUCACAAAUUUUUUUAUCUAAAUCGUCCUUAUAGUUUUAGGUGAGGACAAACAAGGAAGGGUGUGGGGGUUUAUAGGAGGAGCAAUAAUUGCCAUUUACUAUGUUGAAUAGGAAUAGUUACAUACUUUAAUAGGAAAGAUACUGUAUA